RNAcentral lists this ribosomal RNA (627 nucleotides) under Lactarius sp. GAL15690. RNAcentral's name for it is "LSU rRNA". It matches the Rfam family "Eukaryotic large subunit ribosomal RNA", at positions 47 to 649 of the family's 3401-position model. The record is from RNAcentral. Lineage: Eukaryota; Fungi; Basidiomycota; Agaricomycetes; Russulales; Russulaceae.
UAAGCGGAGGAAAAGAAACUAACAAGGAUUCCCCUAGUAACUGCGAGUGAAGCGGGAAAAGCUCAAAUUUAAAAUCUGGCGGUCUUUGGCCGUCCGAGUUGUAAUUUAGAGAAGCGUCUUCCGCGCCGGACCGUGCACAAGUCUCCUGGAAUGGAGCGUCAUAGAGGGUGAGAAUCCCGUCUUUGGCACGGAUGCCUGGUGCUUCUGUGAUGCGCUCUCGAAGAGUCGAGUUGUUUGGGAAUGCAGCUCAAAAUGGGUGGUGAACUCCAUCUAAAGCUAAAUAUUGGCGAGAGACCGAUAGCGAACAAGUACCGUGAGGGAAAGAUGAAAAGCACUUUGGAAAGAGAGUGAAACAGUACGUGAAAUUGUUGAAAGGGAAACGCUUGAAGUCAGUCGCGUCGACCGAGACUCAGCCUUGCCUCGGCUUGGUGUACUUCUCGGCCCGACGGGUCAGCGUCAAUUUUGCCCCUCGGAUAAUGGCAAGGGAAAGGUGGCACCUUUACGGGUGUGUUAUAGUCUCCUGUCGCAUGCGAGGGGUGGGAUUGAGGAACUCAGCGCGCACCUUGGUGUCGGGGCUUCGGCCCACGUCACGCGCUUAGGAUGCUGGCGUAAUGNCUUUAAACGANC